Molecule: transfer RNA, 62 nt
Filed under: Lepidocyrtus fimetarius
Lineage: Eukaryota; Metazoa; Arthropoda; Collembola; Entomobryomorpha; Entomobryidae
Description: tRNA-Arg
Source: RNAcentral
UUUAAGAAAGCGAAAGAUUGCAAUCAGUUUCGACCUGAAUUUUGGAUAACCUCCUCUUUUAA